AGAAUGUUAAGAUUUUUCAAUGCCCACACCCUAAGAAACGGGAUUGAAAAGCAGUGACUUCAAGUAUAACACCAGAGUUUCCAUUUGGAUCCUUGAGUGGCCUUUUCAAAAUGAUGAGCCUGGAAGAGUUACAGACUCUGGCCCAAAAGAACCAAAGUUGAAGGUGGAGAUAUUUUAAGGAUGAGCAGAGCAGAACAACUUAGCAGUGGGAUAUUAAAGGCAACAUGAAUCAAAGAGGAAAAAGGAAAGUCGGGACAUAUGGAGAAAUAGAUGUUUGAGGAAUAUAAGGAAGACAGUGUUUCAAAACUAUUCAUGGAGAGCUGCCUAAUAUUGCUUCUGUGUUCCUCAACACUGUGGACCAUUUUAGACAGUAGACACUGGAACGCACAACAGUGACGGAAAGUGAAUUCUUAAUGGCUGUUUAUCUCAUUAGGCAAAGUUUUUUUCUGCCUUUCCUUAUACUUUACAAGUUUUCAAGCUGAAAAAUUGAAGCUUACAAAACUACAAAUUUAUGAAGGGCGAAGACUACAUUUUCUUUGAAUUCCUACACCAUCUUGCAUGUUAGUGGUUAACCAAGUAUGCAUAGACCUCCCCAUCAACAGGGAGAGUAUGAUGGAUACCCAAUAGCUAGUCAACAUUAGCAGUUCAAUAAGCAAACAAAGUGAGGUGUGGAGAUAAGAGUCUAAGUGCCUGAAGUCAUACUAGAUUGUGGUGCUCAUAGGCAUUUAACGCCUCCUGAGAAGAGACAGUUACUCUAUGAUGAGUGCCUGAGAUUAAGCCGUUUUAGAGCCAAAACUUUUUUAUUUUGUACGUAGUUUAAAAAAUAUACAAGUUAUAAUUGUUAUAAUUAAUGACUCACCCACAUGGAAAGCACCCUUCCAUUUAAACCCUGAAAUAUAACCAUGCUUCUGAAAGCAAA
Pongo pygmaeus (Bornean orangutan) is the source of this 919-nucleotide long non-coding RNA. RefSeq lists it as uncharacterized. The record is from RefSeq and is a predicted model, not a curated record. The transcript is spliced from 3 exons. NCBI's taxonomy places the organism in Eukaryota, Metazoa, Chordata, Mammalia, Primates, Hominidae.